GCUGUUGUCUCAAGAAAAGCCUCAUCCUCUGUGACAGGUGACGAGACCCCCGGAAGAAGCAGCCCCCCUUCCCAAUGGUGACGCAGAGGGAGAGGCAACAAACACCUCGGAGGGCCAGGGGAUGGAGCAGGUUGAAGGAAGUGGGGAGAACAAGGGGCAGACAGAGGAUGGUGGAGAGACCCACAGCCUCCAAGAGUCCCAUGACACGAAGACAGAAGAAGGGGCUGAGGAGGGUGCAGAAGGGGAGCCGGAAGCAGAAGAUGCAGAGGCUGGAGGAGAGGAGGGAGAGGACGCCUAGGCCUGGCGACCCAGCUCCAGUGUCCAGGUA
Erinaceus europaeus (western European hedgehog) is the source of this 328-nucleotide RNA transcript. RefSeq lists it as uncharacterized. The transcript has 3 exons. NCBI's taxonomy places the organism in Eukaryota, Metazoa, Chordata, Mammalia, Eulipotyphla, Erinaceidae. The record is from RefSeq and is a predicted model, not a curated record.